RNAcentral lists this transfer RNA (77 nucleotides) under Verrucomicrobiota bacterium. Its description in RNAcentral is "tRNA-Arg". It matches the Rfam family "tRNA". Rfam says of the family: Transfer RNA (tRNA) molecules are approximately 80 nucleotides in length. Their secondary structure includes four short double-helical elements and three loops (D, anti-codon, and T loops). Lineage: Bacteria; Pseudomonadati; Verrucomicrobiota. The record is from RNAcentral. RNAcentral also lists the same sequence under 2 other names.
GCAUCCGUAGCUCAAUUGGCUAGAGCAUCUGACUACGGAUCAGAAGGUUCCUGGUUCAAAUCCAGGCGGAUGCGCCA